ACUACUUUUUAACUUUAAGAAAACUUUUUAUGAAUAACUGAAAUGUACUAACAUCAAGAAAUGGAACUGUGCACCAACAUUGGGUGGACCAAUAUUAAAUAGUGUUACAGUAGGUGACAGCCUUAGAAUAUUAAGCCUAGGUCUUUAGUUCUAAAGGUCGCUUUUCUCACCUUUGCCCUUGCGAACUGAAGCCCAGCGUCAGAAAGAGCCAAAGACUGGCCAGUGGCAUUUUCAAGUGAUAAAAUAACAAGUGAUGUCAGACUCUCGUCAGCCAUCGUCGAUCAAAGACAUGGUUAAUGAGCCUGAACUUGAAAAAGCUGCACUUACCACUCGUGACUAUGACUGGCGGCGUGAGCAGAAUCCUCAAAGCAAUCCACACAUUAGGAAAAGCAUCCGUCAGCUCUGCAUCAUGAGUAAAUUGGAGAACUUGGAAUGGGGAGUGCUUCCCGUGUGGAAAAAUGUGACUGAUGUCCAAUUCAACAUAAAAACCCUGUAUCACUGAUGUCCAAACAUUCCCCAGGUGGCAACGUUCACUGAAGGCUUUCCAUCACCUCAUCUUUGCCCUCAUAACCAAACUGUCUCGUCUUCCGCUGAAUACGAGUUUCCUUGAAGACCGACUCAACUCCUAAGUUUUCUGCCAUUUCUUAGGCAGCAGUGAUGACGUCUUCAAAUCCGACAGCAAAGUCUAUGUUCCACAGUCUUACAAAACCAUCAAACAUUACAUGUUAAGCAUGGCAAAAGAAGUGAUAGUAUUAAGAUAGGGUUUCAAUAGAUAUGUCUGAUGUCUUAUUAAAUAUGUCCUUUAUUAGUAGCUACUUACACUCUUCAAGUCUUAAAACACAAGUACUCUUUCACAGUUACACAAAGUAAGGUUCACAGUAUUGCAGCUGGGCUCUCACUUAACUUCACUUUGUUCUUAUAUCUCACUGACUGACUGGCAAUACCCUGCCCUUAUAUAACUGCAAGCUGACAACAUUCUAGGAGGUUCAAGGAAAAUCCAGUUUUCAAAAAGUCUGGAAGGUUCCACGAGAUUCUACAAAGAUCCAAAACAUUCUAAGAGGUUAGUGAAAAAUGAAUCCACAUACGGAAUACUUGAAACUAGGGCUGUUGAUUAAUCUGCUCUGAAACUGUGAGAUGCUCUGAACCUCCUCCAAGGUGCUGAGUGCCAUGGGGCAGUGAUCUCCAGCCGGUGUAAAUUUUCAUAGCUCCAUUGACUUCAGUCUCAUUAUAGGCUUGAGCCUUAUCAUCUGUUAUGCCCUCAAAGCAUUGGACUAGGCUCAAUGCUACAGACCUUCACUGCAAUUGUGUGUAUUGUAGUGGAACUGUAAAUAAGGCAAUUCAGCUUCUAGUACUGGCAGUUCCUUACACUUCCUUUACAAAAGGGGAAAAAAUACUGACAAUUGAAAACUAAAAAUAAAGGCUGACCAACUAUUACAGGAAGAGCUGAGUCCUAGUACUUCCCUGUCUGAGAUAAAACUUUCCAAAAUAUUUGCAAUAGAAAAUACAAUUUAUCCUAAAACUUUCAAUUCAGUUUGCUGUGAAAUACCUUGAUCAUUACUGUUAAAUAACUGGUCACAAAUAUAAUUAAAGUCAAAGUACCAUGCAGUGAUAAGGUUGGUAUUUUACAGACAUGAAGGUCAGGAAAUUCACAGUCCUGGUUACUCUAGCAGUCAAACUUUGCCUUGUUUUAGGUGUGUGGUAUAUAGUAUUGCUCUAUGUGGUGUCAGCUUUAAUGCUAAAUUCUGUGUGUACAAUGUGCUGGGGAGACUGUAAUUGUAUAACUCCUGAAUUUUUCAGAUUUCAUAUGUCAGACUAUUCACACACACAAAGUUUUCCUGGGUUUUUGUUUUGUUUUUUUAGGGAAAAAAGGGGGAAGAAAUAAUUUUGUCUAAAUGGGUUGCUUCUUCCAUCUGCAAAUUUUCCAUUUAGUCAGCAUUGUUCAUGUUCCAGUGUGUGGCUGAGAAAGAAGUAAAACAGUAUCCACUUUUCAACACUGCUUUUCUCAUAAAGUAUAUACCUCUGCUUUGCUUUGUCUCUCCCUUCACUGAGGGUCCAGUCCUGGACUCAGGCCACAGCCCAAGUAAACAGCCUUUGCAAUGGAGAGCUCUGUAGACCUCAGGGAGAGAGAGAAUCCUCCCUCAGAGGCUGCAGUGGGUGGCAGGCACUGCUACUGCAGACUUAAUAGUCCCAUAACUGCUGCCCCCUCCUCACCUCUUCUGAGGGGAGGGGUCAGUGGAGGUGGGUGGAAAUUGAUCUGCCUGCCCCAGGACACCCUUUAGAUUAUGAGAAACUUGGGGUGUGGCCUCCCUUCCUGGGCUUCAGUACGUUGCCUUCAUGCUUUCCAUGCAGCAGAAUUGCACUGGUGGAGAAGAGCGGGCUCUGACCUGUGUAGUAGUACUUUACAGAUUGUGGCUGAAGAAGGGACAAUCAUCAAAAGGUCAGUGCACAAUUUCCUUCCUAUUCUCAGCAUGUAUUUAAGAUCAGUUUUGUUCUCUUGUUCAAAACAGCUGUCUUGUGAGUGUGUAGAUCUUUAUCCAUCUAGUCACACAUUUUCUAUUCUGAUAGACUGUUGCACUGUGCUUCAAAAUUAUCACUGACAAAGACAGAUACAGCCUGAAAUCAAUUCUUGGUGAAGGGUCUUAAGCCAAAAGCCAUGCAAGCUAUAUGGCAGAUAAUUGAACCAGGGUCUGUGAAGUACAGUGCAUUUAGGGAGAAGAAGGGAGGAACUUGCUCUGUCUACAUGCCUAUCUAUGUCACUACACAAUAUAGCCUUUAGACAGUAACUUCCAUUUGACGUGGUGACUUCAAAGGCUGUGUGUACAUUAGGUCCUCCAGCAGUUUGGCCAAAAUGUCACACUAAAACAGCAGGGAAGAUAUCUCUUGUAUGAGAGCAUAGUCAGAGAUGAAAAAGAGAGAAUAUUUACCCAGCUGGAAGUGGUCCCUGAAGGAGUUUCCCUGUAUGGGCAAGAAUGUGCCCGAUUUUUGGUCACUGCUAUUUGAUUAUGCAAGUGGGUUCCUCCUUAAGAAAUAUUCCCUGAAUGUAGACCGUGAUCUUGGAAAUGCGAACAGACAAGUGGUUUCUGACUGAAAUCAGUGGAGUAUAAGUCUGUGGGAGGCUCCUGUCAGACAAAUAAUGAAUAUGAACCAGUCAUGUCAGUGCUCUGAAAAACAGAAAUGGCUUUUGACCAAAGAAAACAGAGACGUGAAACGAAAACAAAGUGCAAAACAAAUGAGAACAUGAAUGAGGAUGAGGACAUCAAAAUUCACAGAAGGAAGAUUACAGAAAGCAAGCUGGAGAGAGAUGGAGAGGAAAAAAAUUACUGUGUUCCAAAUGGUUCUUUAAACACUAUUUUAACUAUUAAUCAUAUAAAAGUUGCUUAAACUAAUGGCUACAAUCUGUAGUGUAGCUAAAAGUUUAAGGUGUACUGAAUAUCUGUGGAGCAAGGAGAUACAAAAGAUAAAAGCGAAGAGAGAGAACAGGUAGUUAUGGCUAUGGCCUGCCUUUGGCCGUAAUUCUGUUGCACUGAAUAUAUUCAGCAUUAUGAAGAGAAAGGAUGGUCAGGGUAUUAGCUUAGAAUUUUGGAGAACUGGGUUCAAUUCCCUGUUCUGCCCCAGGAACUCUCUGUGACCUUGGGCUAGUCACUUUGGGCUAAAUCCAUAAAAGGGAUUUAAACUUAUCAUUGCAACACCUAACUUUUUGGCACCUUACUAUCCACUGGAGUCCACAGUCUUUGGCCAGGAGCUUAGACUCCCUAUAUGAUGCAUAGGAAGAGUUAGGUGCCUAAGAAGGGGAUUCACAAAAGCCAGCAUGCUGAGCCGGGAGUUGCCUAAGCUAGCUACCAAGGAGGGAAUUAGGUGUCUCAUGGAAGGCACCUCCCUCCACUUGAGAUUCUCUGCCAAGCUCCCUCUCCUGAAGUUAAGUACCUAAGGCAGGUCAGCCCUUUCUCAUGUAGAAUGGGAGAGGAAGAUAUGGUAGUUGAAUCCAGGUUUCGUAUCUCCCAUGAGUGCCCUAACCACUGGGCUAUGGACUGUUUUGGGGCAGACUUUCUCAGUCUCUUCUGUUGAAAAUGUUCCACUGUGUAUAAAAUAAUUAAAUAGUCCAAAUAGGGUCAGAUUGGCUCUAUAGCCCAGUGGUUAGACACCCUCCGAGGAAGUGAGAGAAUCAGGUUUCAAUCCCUGCAGAACUGUAAAGUGCAGAAUAUGCAGAGUCCAUUUGCUGGAUGAGUGAUUGCUAAAUAACUCAGGCUACCUGAGUGUCUGCCUACCCACCUGUUGGCUGACAACAACUAGAAAUACAAAAUUGGUUCCAGCACACAGGUCUCGUGAAAGAAAAGGAAGUCAAAUACAUAAACAGUAUUUUCACAUAAGAUGACAGUCACACAGGGCCUACUGGCUCACAAGGCUCUAAUCUCAUUCAGCUGGUAGCAGACUUUCUGUAUGCAAGGUUAUUACGACUAAGGACAGUUUUUUCCACAGGAACAAGUGCAUCUUUCUUCUCUAUUGUGUUUGUGUUGUGUUUGUCACUUCCUUCUAACUGGUGGCACAACAUUUUGUCCCAGCACCUCCCUCCAGGAGUAUGAUUCUGCUUCUCCAAUACAGGCUGCAACAAUUUUCCUUCCUUUUUUCUAUUAUGCUGCCUUCAAUAUGUAGGUGAUAUUCCUCUGAAGUUCUGUUGCAUCCAACCUGGCUAGUGCAGUUGAUCUUUUCCCAGGGAUUGGCUGCGGUUGGAGAUUGGAUCAGAGCUAGCAUGCUGAGACUGAGGUAACGUUGGUUUCUCAGGGGAAAACAACCAGAGGACGUAGCAACAGUUACAAUAGCUCUCUCAGAGGGAAUUUGCUUGCCUGUUGUUUCUCAGUUUGGAGAUGGCAAAGAAUCUUCAGAUGAUCUGCCCUUAUUAUUGGAGUGAAAUACUGCAGUUGUAGUCCACAAAAGAGAAGCCCAAAAGAGAAACAAAUGGUAUUAAAGCAUCAGCUCCUCAAAGCAUGUGCCUUUCCCAAGCACAAUUAGCCUGAAGGUCUGCACAUCAGCUAAAAUUGAAUAUGAAGAUAAGGUUCCCAUCUUCCUAGGAGGAACAGAUUUUUCAGGUGUGCUCUCAGCAAUAAACAGGAAAUGCACCACAAAAUUAGGAGGAGGGCAGAGAAUCAUUCCAAAAAGAGUGUGAAAAGUUUUAUUCUCUCUUUUGCUGUAGUACUAGUCUCAUGGACUCAAAGAAAUUAGAAGUGUAAAAGGUUUUAUCUAAUCCUCCUUCCUGCCGGUAAAGGAUUAUUCACUGCAGUCCAUUUUCUGGUGCUUUGAGGUCUAGCUUUAAACAUCGCAAGUGGCCACCUCCAUUUUUCGGGGAAAUGGGGGAAUAUUCCACAGUCUAAAAGAACUCUCUGAGCAGGCUCCCAUUCACUUCAGUUGGACGUGAAUCAGGCCCCAGGUGUUUUUCUUGACAUUCAGCCUAUAUAUUCCUGGUUUAAAAUUCAUCUUAUCGGUCCCAGUUAGAUCUUCUUGAACCAUCCUAAUAUUCCCUUUCAUCCUUUGGGUUUACACCCUCUGAAUGUUGGUAGACAUAUUGAGCUAUUUCAUGGAGCAGUGCUAGUCUACUGCAGUUGUGUUUGCUUAGGGUAGCAAUUGGAUAUUUGAAUGGCUUAGCCACUUGGUUAAGCUUAGUUUAUUCUCCACUUCACAUUUCAACCAGUAUCAUUUUAAAAAAAUAUUUUUUGUUGUUUAUUUUAAGAUUUCAGUUGGUUGCUUGCACCUUUGUUUUUUAGCUAUUAGGGAAGUCCCAUCAUAAACUAGUUCUCUAAGCAAUUGGUAAAAUAACAAAGAGGUUUUCCUGAUGAUUUAUUACUGAUAAAAUUUUCACCACAGAGUCAAAAUGCUCCCACAAAGUUUGAAUUUUUAUGAAUCACCAGAAAUCUUUUUUAUUUUUCUGAAAUGGACCAAAUGUUACUAAGUGAUUUGAUGGGAUUUUUCCUGUUUUAUUCCAGUGGCAAUUUACUUUUCUGCAAUCCUUUCUUCCUUGACAUGUAAUAAAGGAGGUUGUGUGGUUAGAACAAAGUAUUGAGACACACUCUGAUUUACUGUAUAUUCGCAGCUCUCCUUUAUUGUAUAUUUGAACCAUUGAUUCACUGUAUGACCUUGGACAGAUGUCUCAAUCAAGCCAAGUAGAAAAAUGGAUUUAAAAAAUUAAACUCUCUGAAAACCAGAUGCUGCAUCUGAACUGAGCUUUACUGAAUACUUAUAACACCAAUGCCCUGUGCAUUUAGUAUUCCCUUGUCUUUUCUUUUACGCCCUUGUCUCAUAUGUUUGUUUAUUACCAAACUAAUGAUAUUACAUAUAUAUGUGUAAUUUUUCUCUACUUGAAAUAUUUGCAGCUUCAGAAUGGUAAAGAAAUAAUUACAAAUGAUAAUGAAGGGAGCACCACUGCACACCCUUGGGUAGACUCUGAAGCUACAAUGCUAUUCUAGUGGAGGUGGAAGAGUGGCAAACUGCUGUGGUCUGUGCUGUGUGAUUCAGCUUCUGAUGUACAUUCUGCAUAUGUGAUCCCUCUGAAAAAAAAUAGGUACAAUAUCCUUUUGAACCCAGGUUUAUUACUCUUGUAAUCAGUGAAUCCCUGAUCCUACAAAGACUUACAUAUGUGCUUGACUUUACACACUAUGAAGUGGACUGAGUUCAAUGGGAUAACUCACAAGGAGUAAAGUUAAACAUGCCGGAGUCUUUGCAGGACUGGACCCAAGGAAGUUGAACUUAUUUAAGAAGUGAGCUUAUUUAAGAACAAGAAGGAAGCACAGACACACUCAACAUACUUGACUUUGUUUCUAGAAAGUGAAUCAGGUCAGAUGAAGAGCAAAGCAAAUCAGAGUUGAAAGGGGAGGAAGCACCUUGUAGAAGUGAGGAUCCUGCAGCAGCCUCACCACACAGCCAUGCAGUCAGAGCUCUGUAGGUCUGGGUGGUGUAGGAUUGGGGAUCAGUUGCUUCCUGUAGCAUACUUCCUGGGGAAUCCAAGGUUUUUUCACUCCAAGCCAAAUUUAUUGGGAUUAGGAGUGUGAGUUGGGGGGGGGGCGUUGCAGAAUGACUCCUAACUACCCGUGGAAAAGUACUGGGAGCAGAUUCUCCACAUAAAUGUUUUUUGAAUAUAGGAUCAGAAUUUGUCUUCUCUGUGCAGGAGUUAAAGUAAGGAGGUGUGGGUGGAGCACAGCAGCAACCUCUACUCUUCCUACGCGAGGGGGCAGUGCUUCCUGUAGCUCUCCCCUCUGAAUAUGCACUGGCAACUCUGCAGUGCAAAUCUUGUGGAGUUUCUUAAGUGCCCUUUCCUCCUCCCAGGGGUUUUACUUGGGCUUAGGAUAGUGGUGUUAGUCCCCCAUUACAUUGUCCUAUUUCAGUUUCUCCUGCCUUUUAAUUAUUGUAAAGUAUUCAACUAUAGAAAUAUUUUUAUGGAAAGUAUUCAUAACAAUAUACAUCCUACACUGAGCACGUAUAUCUACAAUGUAACUCAAAGUUGUGGUAGAUCAGUCCCCCACACCCAGCUGGAACUGGGUUUCUUCCAGAGGGUCUUUCAGGUUCUGGGCCCGAGUGCCUGUUUCAUAUUGGCCCACAGCAAACUUUAAGUUGGAUCUAGGAAACAUAGAAAGUAAUGCAGAAAAGUGUCCUUUAUUGUGGUGCUUUGUUUUACUUUCUGUUUUCCUUCUGCCUUGGUCCUCUUCAAAUUUUUGUCAGUUGCUUUUUAAACUCUAAAAUAAAAGGAAAAGGGGGUGAAAUAUCCAGACGAAGAAAUUGAUUGUGGCCUCUGAAACAUAGUACAUAAUGUUACAACACAAGAGCAAUAGGUGAUAUUGCUUUGAGCUAUGUCGAGGGCAUGACAUCCUUUUAAAAUAAAUAUUGUAUUCAGAUUGGAGCUGCUCUUUCUGCUGAUUGAUUAUGUGAAAUUCAGCCAGCAAUUGCCUGCCCUGUUUGGCACACAAAUGCCAAUUUAGGCAUAUAUCUCAGGCAGUUCUCUUUGAAAAUGUAGCCCUAACUCGGUCCUUCAUUAACAUAUCUGAAAAAGGAGAAGAAAAGGUUGAGGUUGUAUGGCACUUUUUCCACGGACCUGGAGGAAGAGUACAUUGCAGUGUGCUAUACGCAAAACAGCCUUAGCUGUGCAUAGAGCGCAUUAUUUUUAUUUGCAACAUGCAAAUCAUAAUUUUAUUUUCUGUGAUCACUAAAAUCAGAAAGACUGAAACUGCUCUCUGCCCUGUCAUCACCCUGAAUUUCACAAUGAGGAAGAAGUGGAGAGCUGCAUAGAACUAUAUGUUUGUAACUCCGCGGACAUAGUCCUCUCCCAUACCACCUCUUCCCCCUCUGGCAGCACAGUCAGAAGACAUUAUUUUAAGGAGGGAAAUCUCACCUGCUAUAGUAACUCAUUAUGACUCUUCAUUAAAGUUCUAGCUGUGAAAUAUACGAGAAAAAAAAUUUGAAAAGUCUUCAUUUAUUUAACUUGCAAUUUAUUCCAGCCAAACUAUUAUAAUAUGCAUGCAUCUACAGCUGUGCCCCACAUAAUCUGUUUAUGUUGGUUUAUUUUUGUCUGUGUGUAAUUCAUGAGUGAAUUUCCCUUCCUGUUUUGGGUCCUGAUCCAGCCAACACAUAAUCUCAUGUGUAACUUAAAUCAAUUUGACUAUACACUUUAGUAAAAUGCUUGCAGGAUUGGGGGCUUGUUUUGUAACUAGAGCAUGUUUUGCUAGUGAAAUGAAAGACUUACAGGCAAAUACUGCAUGCCUUAUGCACAGUAGUCCCAUUGAAUUCACAUGUGUGAGUGAGGCAAGCAGCAUGUGGCCCUGAGUUACAUAUCCAUAGUCAUUUGAGUUUGCCAAACAAUAGUUGCACUGUAAUACUCAGGGUAAGUAGUAGUUUAGAAUACUGAAAUCAAUAGCUGGGAUUUGUAAGGGCUCAUUUAAUUUAUGGAGCCAUUUUAAGUGAUCGCCCUUGAGGAAAUUUUAUGUUUUCCUCGCAAUAAUUGAUUUUUUUAAAGAUAGCAGCUUCAUAAUUCAUUUCUUGUGUUUUAUCUCUACCAACUUAGUGUGGUUCUUACAGAGGCAUAUCUGAUACAGUUAGCUGAGAAAUUAAUGGCUAUAUUGACUGGCAGCAGUAUUAACUCCUACCCAAUGCAAUUAGUAAGCUCAGCAGUGAACAGUAUCAAGAAAGCUUUGAGUUUCCUUCAGACCAUCUAACCUGUGUUGGUACAUGGUAUUAUGGAGGCGAAUCAACAAAAAUAUAAAGUAAAUUCAAAAUAAAGGUGCGUGCACUGGCUAUUACUGCUAAGCCUGUACUUUUUCUAUGUACAUCAGUGUAUGUUCCAAAAGCAACGUCAUGCGCCCCUGUGAAUUCUGUGGCUUUUGUUGCCUUGUCAUAAUCUUUACAAUAUAUAAUAUGUAUUGUACUUUUGCAUAUAUAGUUAAUUUAGCAGAUGCAAAAUUAACAUAAGAGAAGAUUUGUUUGCACAAGAAGUUUGGAGUAAUAAAACAUACAUCCAUCCACAAUGUGUUUGUACAUGUCCUUAGAUAACAAUGUGAUACCAUAGGUGUCUUAGAUAUACUAUGGUAUUUAAUCACUAAACAUUUGUUACAUAUUAAAAUGUAUCUUUCCUGAAAGGAAAAACAAUUCUCCAUCUGCUCUUUAAUGUAUUUGAUGUCUUCUAAUAUGGAGGACAAUUACAAUUUGUCCUGCUUGAUUGAAUAAGUGAAUUUUGCAGCUGGCUCUGAAGAUGGUAAGGAUAGAUCUCUUGACCACUUCUCAGAGGAAGUUUCAGAACCUGGGAUCUGCCCUUCCUCGGUGAACUCCUGGAGGAAAUCAAUCACUGACUGCAAUGCAUCAGGAUUUCACUAUGGGAUUCUGUUCACCAGCUAUGUCACUUGAACAGAGCAGCUGAAGAGGAGCACAGAUAGAAGGAUGGACCUUAAAGUAGCCCGUGCCUGUCCUGCUAAAGAUUUUGUAGAUCAGGUCCAGAUCAUCUAAAUGGAAUUAGCAGUGAACAAGGAACCAGUGUAGGUUUCAGAUCACCCAAGUACAUUUUAAAGGCAAAACAAAGAGUUUUAUCCAUGUUUCUCAGUACAGUGGUUGCCAUUAAAAAAGUCAAUCAUCA
This is a long non-coding RNA of Chelonia mydas (Green sea turtle), 10102 nucleotides long. RefSeq lists it as uncharacterized. NCBI's taxonomy places the organism in Eukaryota, Metazoa, Chordata, Testudines, Cheloniidae. The record is from RefSeq and is a predicted model, not a curated record. The transcript is spliced from 2 exons.